GAAAAUAAGAUUGAAAAGUCAAUAAAGAAGAUGAUAUGUGAAUGCGCAUGAGAAACCCCUUCUUCUUCUUCCCCUUUCUUCUUCUUUCUUUCCUUUCUUUACUUGAUUUCCUCUAUUUCCUUUCCAUUCUACGAUCUCUCGGCCUGCUGAAUCAUCUACUUAUCCUCUUCUUUAUCGAGUUUUUGACCUUUUCUUUUCCUUUCAUUUUUCCUAUAGGCCCCACCUUUGAAAGAAAAAAUAUUACAUCUUCUACAUGAUUGAUUGUGUCUAAUUCAAGUACUCACCCUGCU
This 290-nucleotide long non-coding RNA is filed under the name Eucalyptus grandis. RNAcentral's name for it is "long non-coding RNA (EGRA_LNC005951)". Lineage: Eukaryota; Viridiplantae; Streptophyta; Magnoliopsida; Myrtales; Myrtaceae. The record is from RNAcentral.